AACGAACGCUGGCGGCAGGCUUAACACAUGCAAGUCGAACGCCCCGCAAGGGGAGUGGCAGACGGGUGAGUAACGCGUGGGAAUCUACCCAGUUCUACGGAACAACACAGGGAAACUUGUGCUAAUACCGUAUACGCCCUAAGGGGGAAAGAUUUAUCGGAAUUGGAUGAGCCCGCGUUGGAUUAGCUAGUUGGUGGGGUAAUGGCCUACCAAGGCGACGAUCCAUAGCUGGUCUGAGAGGAUGAUCAGCCACACUGGGACUGAGACACGGCCCAGACUCCUACGGGAGGCAGCAGUGGGGAAUAUUGGACAAUGGGCGCAAGCCUGAUCCAGCCAUGCCGCGUGAGUGAUGAAGGCCUUAGGGUUGUAAAGCUCUUUCAGUAGGGACGAUAAUGACGGUACCUACAGAAGAAGCCCCGGCUAACUUCGUGCCUGCAGCCGCAGUAA
Molecule: ribosomal RNA, 447 nt
Filed under: uncultured bacterium
Lineage: Bacteria
Description: partial 16S ribosomal RNA
Rfam family: Bacterial small subunit ribosomal RNA
Source: RNAcentral